AUCUGAGCCCAUUCCCCAUUCCCAAACCCUCACCCCCCCUCCCCCCCCCUCCGCCGGCAUCGAACCGCCGGAGCGGCCGCGCCACCAUGCACCGCCUCCUCCCUCCUCGCGGCUGCCUGCUCCGACGCCUGUCCACGGCCGCCGAGACCUCCGCAGCCUUGCCCCAUCCACCGCGGCGCCCGCUGGCCGACUCACUCUACCGCCGCGUCACUGCCGUAUGGAACCCGAACCUCCCGCUGACUCCCGUGCUGGAGCAAUGGGCGGUCACGGAGGGCCGGGCCGUCGAGAAGAACAACCUCAUGUGCAUCGUCAAGAAGCUCGUCCGCCUCCGCCGCUUCUCCCACGCGCUCGAGCUGUCAAUGUGGAUGACCGACCGGCGGUACAUGUACCUGUCGCCUGGCGACGUCGCGUACCGGCUGGAGCUGAUCAGCAAGGUGCAAGGCCUCGAGAGUGCCGUGAACUACUGGAAGAGCUUGUCGAUCCAGGUGAAGAAAUCUCAUUGCUACGGAUCCCUCCUGAAAUGCUAUGCGGAGGCAAAGUCCGUCGACGAGGCCGAAAAGCUCUUCGCGGAGAUGCAGGACUUGGGAAUGAUGAGAUCAUAUCCUUACAAUGUGAUGAUGAAGCUUUACUGGGAGACCGGGCAGGUUGAGAGGGUGCACACCAUGUACAGGACCAUGGAAGAGAGCGGCAUCAAGCCUGAUGUGUUCAGUAUCAACAUUCUGUUGACGGUGCUUGCAGCUGCUGGGAAUUUUGAUGGCAUUGAGGAAAUUAUCAAGAAGGUCGACCCGAAGAUCGUGAAUUGGCACUCACAUGCCAUUGUAGCCAGGGCUUUCAUGGAAGCCGGGCAGCAAGGAAAGGCCUUGCGAGCUAUCCAGGAAUCAGAAAAGCAGAUAGGUCGGAAGGAUGAGAGGGUUGCAUAUGGGUUCUUGCUUUCCAUGUUUGCUGAUUUGGGAAUGAGUAGUGAGGCAGACCGGGUUUGGAAUGUCUACAAGUCCAAAGUGCCGGUAUGCAACUCGAUGUACAUGUGCAGGAUAAGUGGGCUGCUUAAGAUGAAUGACAUUGAUAGUGCUGAGAAAGCCUUUAGAGAGUGGGAAAGUAGGUAUGUUCACCAUGAUAUCCACUUAACAAACUUACUGAUAAAUGCUUACUGCGCCAAAGGUCUUAUGGAGAAGGCAGAAGCUCUCCUGGAUGAAGCUAUCGCCAAAGGGAGGACACCUCACCGUGGUACUUGGUAUAGGUUGGCUAGUGGAUUUUUCCAGGACGGCCAGGUGUCGAAGGCGGUGGAUAUGACAAGGAAAGCUCUUGCUUGUGCGUCUUCUCGAUGGGAACCUGACCUAACAAAUGUGCUAAUGAGCCUGGAACAUUUCAUGGAGCAAAAGAAUGUUGAAGCAGCCGAGGAGAUGGCAAGCAUGCUACGGAAUUUAGUACCUUUGACAAGGGAUGUUUACCACAUUUUACUGGAGACAUAUGUUCAUGCAGGACAACCAGUGUCAGAUUUACUUGAUCGCAUGAAAAAAGAUGGUUUUGAGGCUGAUGAAGAAACAGAUAAAAUCAUCGCUGGAAUAUGCCAGUAGAUAUCCGCAGCUUCCUAUCAGUAGGCAAUUUCGUUGGUUGUUUAUUUUCCAUGGCAGGAGCACCUCGUCAUGAUCUUGGAGAACUCGUGUAAUUCUUUUUCCGAGUUUGCCACCAUCCUGAUAAGAACACGUACGUACGCCUCCUAAGGAAAAUUUUAUUUCUCCAAGCAACAGAGGGUUCCUUGCGAUCAGCCGUGUGAAGUUUCUAUUGAUUUGCGUCGCCUUCAUCAGUUUAAGGGGGAAGAGAAAGCUUCCGUUUGUUGAUUUGUUGUGGGGGCCAGUCCAGUCAGCGAUUAAUCACCCAUCUUGCGUCCGUCCACGAGCACCACCAUGUGAUAUGAUUGCGUGCCUAAAUUCCGUUCUGCUUUGGGUGUGGUUGGUUAACCCACUCCUUUCUUUUUCUUCCGCGUAUCACUGUAUCACACACACAUAUCAUUUUGGCCCCUUGUCGUACGAUUUGCUUGCAUACAU
This is an RNA transcript of Triticum aestivum (bread wheat), 2045 nucleotides long. It is a transcript of the gene named pentatricopeptide repeat-containing protein At2g20710, mitochondrial, with no coding region annotated. The transcript is spliced from 3 exons. Lineage: Eukaryota; Viridiplantae; Streptophyta; Magnoliopsida; Poales; Poaceae. The record is from RefSeq and is a predicted model, not a curated record.